Molecule: long non-coding RNA, 205 nt
Organism: Carassius carassius (crucian carp)
Lineage: Eukaryota; Metazoa; Chordata; Actinopteri; Cypriniformes; Cyprinidae
Exons: 3
Source: RefSeq, a predicted model, not a curated record
CAGCAAUUCCCCGCCUCUUGUGACAUCUCAAACUAAUUCACAUGCCUCACUUUCACGAUCAAGAAUCAGCCGAAGUAGAGAGCUAUUAGUCUUCACACUGGUCUGAGACAAAAAUUGCCUCACUCUGAACUACGGCACCAAAAAAAAGCAUUUGAGCCCCAGAGAGCUGACACUUUCAAGCCCUCAAGGCCUCUGGACUGAUAUG